Molecule: non-coding RNA, 45 nt
Filed under: Schistosoma margrebowiei
Lineage: Eukaryota; Metazoa; Platyhelminthes; Trematoda; Strigeidida; Schistosomatidae
Source: RNAcentral
AUCUAGCUGACGAGUCCCAAAUUGGACGAAACGCGCGUCCCGGAU